GAUAUUCAGGUUGUGCUCUCCCUGUAAAAGUAAUUCAUUUCAGACCUUUGUAAAAGUAAUUGUGCUCCCCCUGUUUUGUAUGCAUUCAUAAAUUGUGUCAAAUUUGAGCACUUAAGGUAUGUUAUGAGAUCUUUAAGGCACAUCAUAGAGUCACAUACACAGAGUCAAAAAUGUACACAAGGUUUCAAAAGAAAUUGUAUGUCAUUCAUAUAUCAUUGUAAACCUUUGAAAUCAUUACAAAGUUAAAAGAGGAGAUCAUUACAAGUAUUCAUCUCUAAUACAAAAAGUGUUUCAAAAUGAGCCUAGGGUUUACAAAAGAAGAACCCUAGAUGUCUACAAAAUGUCCCUCAUCGGCGACGUUGCUCAUAAGCCCUACAAGCUGCAUCUAUAAAUGCAUUGAUGGAAUCUAAUAAUGUUUUGAACUGCUCUCCCUGGGACUGAUGAAAGACUGCCACUAGUGCUUCAAAUUCAAUGCUUGCCCUUUCAAUUCUUCCUCGAAGUUGGGCAACCACAGUGCCCACAUUACCUC
RNAcentral lists this long non-coding RNA (529 nucleotides) under Phoenix dactylifera (date palm). Its description in RNAcentral is "long non-coding RNA (PDAC_LNC011012)". The record is from RNAcentral. Lineage: Eukaryota; Viridiplantae; Streptophyta; Magnoliopsida; Arecales; Arecaceae.